GAUACGCGUACCAAGUACUCGGUGUAAACUAGGUCAGAAGAGACAGAAAUUCAACUGAGUGAACAAGAAGAAAAAAGGUGCUCGUGAAGUAUUCAUUAAAAGAGAUUUAUACAAAUGAAAUUCCUCAGUAGUCGACAGCUGGAAAUCUGGCAAUAAAUCUGACUUUGUUACAUCCACUUGGUUACUUUCCGGAUUUGACAUGACAUCUUACGAGAUGAUGCGAGCAUCCAACUGAUUGCCUGUUAAUGAUCCUGUAUCAGAUGUAUCGAUAAGAUUAUCUGGCAGUCUCGGAAUCAAUAGAUACCUUCGGCAGAAGUACCGACCACUAUCGGUGUAACAUUAACUCGAUUAGUCAUUAAUUGGAGACCUUACCUUGGGUAAUGACGGAAUUGUUAUCAAAUGUUUAAAAUACUGCAUAUGUUUAACUGCAGUAUUGUAAAAGCUCUUCAAUUUGUGGAAUUACUUUGAGAAUCUAUUGCGGUGUCCGGUCAAUGUAUCCGGGAGCACACCAUGAAGAUUAAACAGGAUUUUCACGUCACAAUCGUACAGGUGCGAAGCGUCUUGGAUACAUGGAAACAAAGGCGCGAGUCGGCAUUGACCACACAAUGUCAUUGAGCAGGCAACUGAUGGCACCCAGCACCUAACCAAAAAAA
Molecule: long non-coding RNA, 653 nt
Filed under: Monomorium pharaonis (pharaoh ant)
Lineage: Eukaryota; Metazoa; Arthropoda; Insecta; Hymenoptera; Formicidae
Description: uncharacterized LOC105835709, transcript variant X2
Source: RNAcentral